UGGUCAAGUUAUUAAGAGUGCAGGGCGGAUGCCUUGGCACUAGGAGCCGAUGAAGGACGUGAUAAGCUGCGAUAAGCUUCGGGGAGUUGCACGUAAACUUUGAUCCGAAGAUUUCCGAAUGAGGAAACUCACUUAGAGUAAUGUCUAAGUAUCAUUAAGUGAAUACAUAGCUUAAUGAGGGGAACUCAGGGAACUGAAACAUCUAAGUACCUGAAGGAAGAGAAAGAAAUUCGAUUCCGUAAGUAGCGGCGAGCGAACGCGGAUUAGCCCAAACCAAUAAAGUUUUCUUUGUUGGGGUUGCGGACAUAUCAUAACGAAGAGGUAUCGUAAUUGAAGAGGUUUGGAAAGACCCACCACAGAAGGUAAUAGUCCUGUAUGUUAAACGAGAAGACUUUAGAUAUGAUCCAGAGUACCACGGGACACGUGAAACCCUGUGGGAAGCAGGAGGGACCACCCUCCAAGGCUAAAUACUACCUAGUGACCGAUAGCGUAUAGUACCGUGAGGGAAAGGUGAAAAGAACCCCGGGAGGGGAGUGAAAUAGAACCUGAAACCCUGCACUUACAAGCUGUGGAAGCACAUUUCUUGUGUGACCGCGUACUUUUUGUAGAACGGGCCAACGAGUUACGUUAAGUAGCAAGGUUAAACACUUAAGGUGCGGAGCCGUAGCGAAAGCGAGUUUUAACUGAGCGUUCAGUUACUUGACGUAGACCCGAAACCGGGCGACCUACCCAUGAGCAGGAUGAAGCGAAAGUAAAAUUUCGUGGAG
RNAcentral lists this ribosomal RNA (767 nucleotides) under Clostridioides difficile. RNAcentral's name for it is "partial 23S ribosomal RNA". It matches the Rfam family "Bacterial large subunit ribosomal RNA", at positions 1 to 771 of the family's 2925-position model. Lineage: Bacteria; Bacillati; Bacillota; Clostridia; Peptostreptococcales; Peptostreptococcaceae. The record is from RNAcentral.